CCAAACAAAAGUCUCUGUGAGAUUGCAAAGGUUUAACUGGUUGAUGUAUUUUCAAUGAAGGUUUUUAAAGACCAAGAUCAAGCUAGCCUCCAACUAGACCAUUGCCCACCACCCCCCACCAUCACUAAAGUUAGCUACACUUAUAUCUUUUAUUGUUUAUGUUUGUACACAUUUUUUUAUUUUGGUCAAAAUGUUUUAAAUGUUUAUGUACGCAUUUGAAUCUUGUUUUUAUUAUGCAAUGAAAAUUAUUUAUGUAAUGACAGUUAUAGUUUU
Ziziphus jujuba (common jujube) is the source of this 273-nucleotide long non-coding RNA. RefSeq lists it as uncharacterized. NCBI's taxonomy places the organism in Eukaryota, Viridiplantae, Streptophyta, Magnoliopsida, Rosales, Rhamnaceae. The record is from RefSeq and is a predicted model, not a curated record. The transcript is spliced from 2 exons.